This 1404-nucleotide ribosomal RNA is filed under the name uncultured bacterium. RNAcentral's name for it is "bacterial SSU rRNA". It matches the Rfam family "Bacterial small subunit ribosomal RNA". The record is from RNAcentral.
AGAGUCCUUUCAUGGCUCAGGAUGAACGCUAGCGGCAGGCCUAACACAUGCAAGUCGAGGGGCAGCGGGGAGGAAGCUUGCUUUCUCCGCCGGCGACCGGCGCACGGGUGAGUAACACGUAUGCAACCUGCCCCUGUCAGGGGGACAACCCGCCGAAAGGCGGGCUAAACCCGCGUACAUGCCACCGGGGCAUCCCGGAGGCAGGAAAGGCUUCGGCCGGACAGGGAUGGGCAUGCGGCGCAUUAGGCAGUAGGCGGGGUAACGGCCCACCUAACCGACGAUGCGUAGGGGUUCUGAGAGGAAGGUCCCCCACACUGGUACUGAGACACGGACCAGACUCCUACGGGAGGCAGCAGUGAGGAAUAUUGGUCAAUGGUCGGGAGACUGAACCAGCCAAGCCGCGUGAGGGAGGAAGGUACAGAGUAUCGUAAACCUCUUUUGUCAGGGAACAAAGGCGGGGACGUGUCCCCGGAUGAGUGUACCUGAAGAAAAAGCAUCGGCUAACUCCGUGCCAGCAGCCGCGGUAAUACGGAGGAUGCGAGCGUUAUCCGGAUUUAUUGGGUUUAAAGGGUGCGCAGGCGGUCUGUUAAGUCGGCGGUCAAAGCCCGGGGCUCAACCCCGGCCCGCCGUUGAAACUGGCAGUCUCGAGUUGGAGAGAAGUAUGCGGAAUGCGCGGUGUAGCGGUGAAAUGCAUAGAUAUCGCGCAGAACUCCGAUUGCGAAGGCAGCAUGCCGGCUCCACACUGACGCUGAGGCACGAAAGCGUGGGUAUCGAACAGGAUUAGAUACCCUGGUAGUCCACGCAGUAAACGAUGAAUGCUGGCUGUCCGGGGGGACUGACCCCUGGGUGGCGAAGCGAAAGCGAUAAGCAUUCCACCUGGGGAGUACGCCGGCAACGGUGAAACUCAAAGGAAUUGACGGGGGCCCGCACAAGCGGAGGAACAUGUGGUUUAAUUCGAUGAUACGCGAGGAACCUUACCCGGGCUCAAACGGGGAGUGGCGCAGGCAGAGACGCCUGUUUCCCACGGGACACUCCCCGAGGUGCUGCAUGGUUGUCGUCAGCUCGUGCCGUGAGGUGUCGGCUUAAGUGCCAUAACGAGCGCAACCCCCGCGUGCAGUUGCUAACAGUCAACGCUGAGGACUCUGCACGGACUGCCGGCGCAAGCCGCGAGGAAGGCGGGGAUGACGUCAAAUCAGCACGGCCCUUACGUCCGGGGCGACACACGUGUUACAAUGGGUGGUACAGCGGGAAGCCGGGCGGCGACGCCGAGCGGAACCCGAAAUCCACUCUCAGUUCGGAUCGGAGUCUGCAACCCGACUCCGUGAAGCUGGAUUCGCUAGUAAUCGCGCAUCAGCCAUGGCGCGGUGAAUACGUUCCCGGGCCUUGUACACACCGCCCGUCAAG